RNAcentral lists this ribosomal RNA (433 nucleotides) under uncultured bacterium. Its description in RNAcentral is "partial 16S ribosomal RNA". It matches the Rfam family "Bacterial small subunit ribosomal RNA", at positions 29 to 507 of the family's 1533-position model. The record is from RNAcentral.
AACGAACGCUGGCGGCAUGCCUAACACAUGCAAGUCGAACGAGACCUUCGGGUCUAGUGGCGCACGGGUGCGUAACGCGUGGGAAUCUGCCCUUGGGUUCGGAAUAACAGUUGGAAACGACUGCUAAUACCGGAUGAUGACGUAAGUCCAAAGAUUUAUUGCCCCGGGUUGUGCGCGCGUAGGAUUAGAUGGUUGGUGGGGUAAGGGACUACCAAGGCGACGAUCCUUAGCUGGUUUGAGAGGAUGAUCAGCCACACUGGGACUGAGACACGGCCGAGACUCCUACGGGAGGCAGCAGAGGGGAAUAGUGGACAGUGGGCGAAGGCAUGAUCCAGCAAUGCCGCGAGAGUGAUGAAGGCCUUGGGGUUGUAAAGCUCUAUUAACCGGGAAGAUAAUGACGGUACCGGGAGAAUAAGCCCCGGCUAACUCCGUG